This 484-nucleotide ribosomal RNA is filed under the name uncultured bacterium. RNAcentral's name for it is "partial 16S ribosomal RNA". It matches the Rfam family "Bacterial small subunit ribosomal RNA", at positions 30 to 507 of the family's 1533-position model. The record is from RNAcentral.
AUUGAACGCUGGCGGCAGGCCUAACACAUGCAAGUCGAGCGGAUGAAGGGAGCUUGCUCCUGGAUUCAGCGGCGGACGGGUGAGUAAUGCCUAGGAAUCUGCCUGGUAGUGGGGGAUAACGUCCGGAAACGGGCGCUAAUACCGCAUACGUCCUGAGGGAGAAAGUGGGGGAUCUUCGGACCUCACGCUAUCAGAUGAGCCUAGGUCGGAUUAGCUAGUUGGUGGGGUAAAGGCCUACCAAGGCGACGAUCCGUAACUGGUCUGAGAGGAUGAUCAGUCAAACUGGAAAUGAGACACGGUCCAGACUCCUAAGGGAGGCAGCAGUGGGGAAUAUUGGACAAUGGGCGAAAGCCUGAUCCAGCCAUGCCGCGUGUGUGAAGAAGGUCUUCGGAUUGUAAAGCACUUUAAGUUGGGAGGAAGGGCAGUAAGUUAAUACCUUGCUGUUUUGACGUUACCAACAGAAUAAGCACCGGCUAACUUCGUG